AGCUCCAAUAGCGUAUAUUAAAGUUGUUGCGGUUAAAAAGCUCGUAGUUGGAUCUCUGGUCUUGCCGGCCGGUCGCCCACUGGGUUGUACUGGUUGGCGGACCCGAAUUGCUAGUGUUUCUGUGCGUGCUCUUCACUGGGUGCGUACAGUGGCUAGCGCGUUUACUUUGAAAAAAUUAGAGUGCUCAAAGCAGGCUACUCGCCUGAAUAGUGGUGCAUGGAAUAAUGGAAUAGGACGUCUUGUUCUAUUUGUUGGUUCGGAACCGGACGUAAUGAUUAAGAGGGACAGACGGGGGCAUUCGUAUUGCUACGUUAGAGGUGAAAUUCUUGGAUCGUAGCACGACGAACAACUGCGAAAGCAUUUGCCAAGAAUGUUUUCA
RNAcentral lists this ribosomal RNA (379 nucleotides) under uncultured eukaryote. Its description in RNAcentral is "SSU rRNA". It matches the Rfam family "Eukaryotic small subunit ribosomal RNA", at positions 587 to 972 of the family's 1831-position model. The record is from RNAcentral.